CGACAUUUAUAAUCAGAGGAUAUGCAGAGAUGGCAGGCAGUGCAAGAGUCCUGCAGCAGAAGACGCCACAGACGGCCAUCAGGAGGAGCGUCUGACAGCUGCUCAGUGAAAUCAUGUCUUUCUGCAGACAUUUAAACCAGGGUAAACAUUUCCAGAUUUGCAGAUUGCUUGUGCAGUUACUGACCUCUUGAACAUCUGGAGGUAAAAACUCAACCAGAGGGGGCCUUUCAGGUGGUUUCUCAUUUUU
This is a long non-coding RNA of Cyprinus carpio (common carp), 247 nucleotides long. RefSeq lists it as uncharacterized. The transcript has 3 exons. The record is from RefSeq and is a predicted model, not a curated record. NCBI's taxonomy places the organism in Eukaryota, Metazoa, Chordata, Actinopteri, Cypriniformes, Cyprinidae.